UACGAAGGGACCUAGCGUAGUUCGGAAUUACUGGGCUUAAAGAGUUCGUAGGUGGUUGAAAAAGUUAGUGGUGAAAUCCCAGAGCUUAACUCUGGAACUGCCAUUAAAACUUUUCAGCUAGAGUAUGAUAGAGGAAAGCAGAAUUUCUAGUGUAGAGGUGAAAUUCGUAGAUAUUAGAAAGAAUACCAAUUGCGAAGGCAGCUUUCUGGAUCAUUACUGACACUGAGGAACGAAAGCAUGGGUAGCGAAGAGGAUUAGAUACCCUCGUAGUCCAUGCCGUAAACGAUGUGUGUUAGACGUUGGAAAUUUAUUUUCAGUGUCGCAGCGAAAGCGAUAAACACACCGCCUGGGGAGUACGACCGCAAGGUUAAAACUCAAAUGAAUUGACGGGGACCCGCACAAGUAGUGGAGCAUGUGGUUUAAUUCGAAGAUACGCGCAGAACCUUACCAACACUUGACAUGUUCGUCGCGACUCUAAGAGAUUAGAGUUUUCGGUUCGGCCGGACGAAACACAGGUGCUGCAUGGCUGUCGUCAGCUCGUGUCGUGAGAUGUUGGGUUAAGUCCCGCAACGAGCGCAACCCUCACUUUUAGUUGCCAUCAUUAAGUUGGGCACUCUGAAAGAACUGCCAGUGAUAAGCUGGAGGAAGGUGGGGAUGACGUCAAGUCCUCAUGGCCCUUACGUGUUGGGCUACACACGUGCUACAAUGGUAUCUACAACAGGAAGCAAGACUGCGAAGUUAAGCAAAUCCCUAAAAGAUACCUCAGUUCGGAUUGCACUCUGCAACUCGAGUGCAUGAAGCUGGAAUUACUAGUAAUCGUGGAUCAGCGUGCCACGGUGAAUGCGUUCCCGGGUCU
RNAcentral lists this ribosomal RNA (856 nucleotides) under uncultured bacterium. Its description in RNAcentral is "SSU rRNA". It matches the Rfam family "Bacterial small subunit ribosomal RNA", at positions 524 to 1381 of the family's 1533-position model. The record is from RNAcentral.